Long non-coding RNA from Entelurus aequoreus (snake pipefish), 1575 nucleotides. RefSeq lists it as uncharacterized. The record is from RefSeq and is a predicted model, not a curated record. The transcript has 6 exons. NCBI's taxonomy places the organism in Eukaryota, Metazoa, Chordata, Actinopteri, Syngnathiformes, Syngnathidae.
UCUACGGCUUUUGGGAGUGCACAAUAAGUAUUAGUAGACGCAGCAGAAGAACGAGGAAUACAGCCGAGCAAGAUGAAGAAAUACGCUUGCAAGUUCCAAAGCGAAUGGAAACAAGAAUUUCAAUUCAUCCAGGACAGUUGGAAGGGGAAGGGCUAUGUUGCCUGUACAUUUUGUGGAACAGACUUCUCAAUUGAACACGGUGGCCGAAAUGAUAUAAUCAUUCAUGAACGGAGAGCGAAGCACAAGGCGGCGGCAGCGCAGCACCGGUCACAGUCCAGUAUUAUGGGCCACCUCGCAAAAUGGAGACCCGAUGGUGUAACAUAUGCCGAGACAAAGAUGACUAUGCUGAUAGCUGCAAGCAACAUCCCAUUCUCAUUUGCGGAUGUUUACAACAAAUCCGUGAAGAAUAUGUACCCGGAUUCAGAGAUCGCUUGCCAGUACUCAAAUGGCAGAACAAAGGCGACUCAAAUAGUGAAAGGUAAGUGUUUUUUUUAGUAAGCAGUGUUGGAGCCAAAAUUCCUUAUUUGUUUAUAUUGUUUUUAUUUUAUUUUCUCUAAAUUGAUUGUUGGGUUCAGCAUGUUUAAUUUCCUUUUUUGGCAGACUGCUACACUCACUUCCUGUUAAGAACCAGGAAGUAUUGACGGGGGAGGGGACUGUUGCUAUGGUGCGGUUACCAUGGUAGCCUCCAUAAAUUAGGUUCAGGUGUGAGCUCGGGCAGGGCGAUUGGAGGACAAACAGUUUUCGACCGUGUUCGUGCCACGUGUUCGUGGUCGUGGUCGUGGUCGUGUUCGUGUCAUGUGGUGACAAUGAUGUGAUAAUGUGCCAAUCAAGUUCUACAGUACUGGACAUUCUAUUAUUUCCACGCGUCAAACUGGUCAACACAGUCGCCCUCGGUACCAGCCCAAAGGUGCCAUUGCCCCGGAAUUGGACAAGGAAGUGAUGGAACUUUGCCAAAACCAACCCUUUGGUCUGAUGUGUGAUGAAAGCACAAGCAGAAAGACGGAUAAAAGUUUGUGAUAUUGGCCAGGGUUUGUGAUCCGAAAACUGAGGAGGUGGUGACGAAGUUUCUGCACAUGCCAGUGUGCAACAUUGGCACAGCAGAGAACCUCUUUGAGUCACUGAACACAGUGCUAAGUGACAGAAAAAUUGACUGGAGAAACGAAACCAUGCAGCAUUAAUGUUAUGGAGCUAGGAAAAAGUCUGCCGCAGCUGCGAUUGGACCUGACCAGCCUCCGGGUACAAGUACUGGAGUACCAAUUGCUUGCCAGGGAACAUCUUCCCCAGGAAGCAAGGAUUGACCGGUUUUGGGCCAUGCUAGGGAGAGAUGGAAGAUUCCCCACACUCGUGCAUUUGAUGAAAGCACUUUUAUGCGUGCCACACAGCAAUGCAUCAUCAGAGAGGGUGUUCAGUAUGGUUCGAAAAAUAGUGACAGAGAAUAGAAAGAGGAUGGACAAUUCAACCCUUAACUCACUCCUUUCCUGCAAAAUAAAUUUCACAGAUGCUGCCCACAGCUAUAUUCCUUCAAAGGCUGUGCUUCUGGCUGCAAAGCAUUGUACUUUCAAGUACAACAAUGAG